This 389-nucleotide ribosomal RNA is filed under the name uncultured bacterium. Its description in RNAcentral is "bacterial SSU rRNA". It matches the Rfam family "Bacterial small subunit ribosomal RNA", at positions 30 to 417 of the family's 1533-position model. The record is from RNAcentral.
AUUGAACGCUGGCGGCAUGCCUUACACAUGCAAGUCGAACGGCAGCACGGGAGCUUGCUCCUGGUGGCGAGUGGCGAACGGGUGAGUAAUACAUCGGAACGUACCCUGAAGUGGGGGAUAACGUAGCGAAAGUUACGCUAAUACCGCAUAUUCUGUGAGCAGGAAAGAGGGGGAUCGCAAGACCUCUUGCUUUAGGAGCGGCCGAUGUCGGAUUAGCUAGUUGGUGAGGUAAAGGCUCACCAAGGCGACGAUCCGUAGCGGGUCUGAGAGGAUGAUCCGCCACACUGGGACUGAGACACGGCCCAGACUCCUACGGGAAGCAGCAGUGGGGAAUUUUGGACAAUGGGCGCAAGCCUGAUCCAGCCAUGCCGCGUGAGUGAAGAAGGCCU